GCUGUAACAGGGCAAUUCAUGCCAACCUCCUUGGCAGAUACCAUGGCCAAAUUCAAGUCCUUAGCCAUAAGUUUAGACGAAAAUCCACCAUUAUAAUUCCUUGAAGAAGCCACAUCUUCCAUUAAUCCAGGAACUGGAUUGUAACUAUCACUGCUCCAACACCGUGCAGUCGACGAGUCGAAUAUACUUUUUAAUGUUCUAGCUGUGAUCCCUAAAGAUUGUCCGAGAGCAAAGGCUUCGGAAACUCCAAGCAUGCUUACAGCCAUU
RNAcentral lists this unclassified non-coding RNA (267 nucleotides) under Hevea brasiliensis (rubber tree). The record is from RNAcentral. Lineage: Eukaryota; Viridiplantae; Streptophyta; Magnoliopsida; Malpighiales; Euphorbiaceae.